AUCACCUCCUGCCAAAUAGAAGGGGAAGAAAUGGAGGCAGUGAGAGAUUUGACUUUCUUGGGCUCCAUGAUCACUGCAGAUGGUGACAGCAGCCACAAAAUGAAAAGACGCCUGUUUCUUGGGAGAAAAGCAAUCUUAAAAAGCAGAGACACCACCUUGCCGACAAAGGUCCGUAUUGUUAAAGCUAUGGUUUUCCCAGUAGUGAUGUUCGGAAGUGAGAGCUGGACCAUAAAGAAGGCUGAUCGCCGAAGAAUGGAUGCUUUUGAAUUCUGGUGCUGGAGGAGACUCUUGAGAGUCCCAUGGACUGCAAGAAGAUCAAACGUAUCCAUUCUUAAGGAAAUCAGCCCUGAGUGCUGACUGGAAGGACGGAAGCUGAGGCUCCAAGACUUUGGCCACCUCAGGAGAAGAGAAGACUCCCUGGAAAAGACCCUGAUGUUGGGAAAGAUGGAGGGCAGAAGGAGAAGGGGACGACAGAGGACGAGAUGGUUGGAUAGUGUUCUCGAAGCUACCAGCAUGAGUUUGACCAAACUGCAGGAGGCAGUGGAAGACAGGAGUGCCUGGCGUGCUCUGGUCCAGGGGGCCACGAAGAGUCGGACAGGACUAAACGACUAGACAACACAGCAACCGUGUUUUGUGUUGUGUUGGCUCCUAGGAUGUAAGUCAUGGGCUCCACCUGCUAGCCUGCUCCCUCAAAUAUCCCUGGUAUGCUCCUUUCUGUAUAUAGGGUGCCGACAUUCUGCAUGAACUGGUUGCAUGCAAACAUGUGCAAAUGGCUUGAGAUACCUGUGAGGUCCAUCAAUGACCAUAUAGCAUCUAGUCAACACAAAAAACAGUGACAAUUUGUUGAUGACAAAGGACAGCUGGACAUAGAAAGGGCCCCAUUGCCUUCAGUAGAUCAGGGCCUCAUCAAACCUAAAUCCGGCCUGGGGUGGGGUGAGGUGGGAUGAAUUUGAAAUCUGAUCUCUCCAAGGUCCUAUUCCAGUGGUGUCCAAACUUUUUUCAAAGAGGGCCAGAUUUGAUGAAGUGAAGGGCCGUGAGGGCCGAACAAAGUUGUUGACUUUACCAGACCUUUUUUAGGGUUGAAGUUGUCAAGGUUUUUUUUUAGGAUUUUACCCCAGGAAGUAAACUUCCACAGGAGCCGGAUUAAACCGACCAGCGGGCCGGAUUAGGCCCCCAAAAUGGACUUUGGACAUGCCUGUCCUAGUCCAACCCCCUAACCACUAUGCCACACUGCCUCCUUGAAGAUUCCCUCCCCCCCCCCACUUCUUCCUUUAGGUCUGGUGAUACCUCUUGAGGCUGAGUGAAGGACGUCCUUGCGGGUAACAUUUGUUCAAGGUGCUGCCGACAGGGAAAUGUUCUGGUCUGAACCUUGAAGGAGCGUCAAGUUCAUAUAGAGAGGGGCAAAAGUGUUUGCUUGCGAAAAGGCUGGGCUGAAGUAUGAUCCCCACCCUCCUCAUGAGAUGGGAAAGGGUUGAGUAACCCUUUCAAGAGAACAUGGGCUCAGCUUUCUCAAGAUCACGGGGUAAAAAACAAGUUAUUGCCUAAUACCCUUUAGUUCAAUUUUAAAACCCGGCGACUUUUGCAGUUCCGCUCGAUUGUAAAAUACAGUGGUACCUUGGUUCACAAACUUAAUCCGUUCCACAAGUCCAUUCCAAAACCAAGGCGCACUUUCCCAUAGAAAGUAAUGCUAAGCGGAUUAAUCCGUUAAAGGCUUUUUAAAAACAACCUCUAAAAGAGCAAUUUAACAUGGAUUUUACUAUCUAACGGGACCAUUGAGCCAUAAAAUGAAAGCAAUAAACAAUGUACUGCAGUCACAAAAUCAAUCAGUCAAUCAAUUAAUCAAUCAAUCGGUAGCUGAACCGGGUUCCACACAGUCACAAAAACAAAAAAAAGCCACAAAACCGAAAACGCAAAAUGAAUAGCAAAAACAGACGGACCUCAGUGUUAACACUCAAAUUGGAAGCGUAACGCUUAAAACAGAGAACGUUCGGCUUCUGAAAAAAGUUCGCAAACCGGAACACUUACUUCCAGGUUUGCAGUGUUUGGGUUCCAUGUUGUUUGAGUACCAAGGCGUUUGAGAACCAAGGGACCACUGUAAACCAGUAAACACCUCAAAGUGGUUUACAAAACAGGAAUAGCUGUGGCUGGCAUCCGUCUGUCUCGAGAGAAAAUGGAGUGUGCCUCCGGGGGUGACGUUAAAGCGCUGUGUUAGCAUAAGGUUACCAGAUUUUUUUCCAGUGAAUCCGUGGACACAAUGAAUGAAUGAAUGAAUGAAUGAAUGAAUGUUGUUUAGUCGUGUCCGCCUCUUCGUGACCCCCUGGACCAGAGCACGCCAGGCACUCCUGUCUUCCACUGCCUCCCGCAGUUUGGUCAAACUCAUGCUGGUAGCUUCGAGAACACUGUCCCACCAUCUCGCCCUCUGCCGUCCCCUUCUCCUUGUGCCCUCCAUCUUUCCCAACAUCAGGGUCUUUUCCAGGGAGUCUUCUCUUCUCAGGAGGUGGCCAAAGUCUAUUUUUGUUGGAAAAUCUUAAGAAGAAUAAUUAAAAGAAAAAACAGAGCAGGAGGCUGGAUUAGUUGGGCCAUGUUCCAGAUUUCUCAUCUUAUGUUGUGAUGAAGCGAGCUUUUCUUAUUGAUUCUAGAAUGUAUUUUAAUUAAUUGACUGUGCAAUUUUAUGUACACUGUGAUAUUUUUACCUGUUGUUAGCCACACUGAGCCCGGCUUUGGAGGGGAGGGUGGGAUACAAAUAAAAUGUUGCUGUUGUUGUUGUUGUUGUUAGCGCCCUUUUGGGACUUUCCUUCCAGAGAUUGCAAAAACUCAGGUUCCCAUUAAGUCAGGCAAGGCAAGACUCCCUUAUCAUGUUGCAUUUCUCACAAUCAGCAAACAGCGUUGCAAGUUUCGACACGAUGUGCAGAGAAAUUGCAUGGGUAAUCCGAUCGGCGUGAAAAACUGGCCUUGCUCAUCGCUUAUUAGGAAAUGAAGACAAAUGGCCACAUCAGGACCGGUGAGGCAGCAGUUGGGGCAGGAGGGCUAGAAGGAAACCAAGCAGCUAGACCUCAUUGUCUGAGAAGGAAAUUUGUGCACAAGGGCCAGUGUUUGCUGUUAUAUGCGCAGAGAGUGGAAGAUUCACCCUGAUUUAAUAUGGAGGCAUGGUUGCUGAAAUAGCUGGGGGGAAAGCUAGCACAUUGAAAAACUAUUGCUGACAUUUAUCAAUAUUGUUAAAUGGGAGCCCCUUUUAUUUUGUUUUUGGUAUGUACUGAGUUCAAUAGUGUUAACGGAAAAAUCCGAGGGCUCCCUUGGACAAAAGCAAAGACACCAACCAGGAUAACUUGGAGCAAAACAGCAGCCUGUAGGCUUGGCCUUUAUUGAUCUGUUGCAACAGGGUGCUCCCCUCACCUGCAGGAGAGAGGAAGGACACAGAAAAAAUGGUGUGCAAGGUCUUAUAAAGACUUUUGAAAUUCCCAUCCUGUAGAUCAAGCCCACCCCCAGAAACAUCAUACAUACAUCCCAGAAAGGAGGGGUUGAGGGAGGGGUAGUGGUGGUAACCUGAGUGUCCUGUCACCUGGCUGGUUCCCCCUUUCCCCCUCCCCAUGAGUACUUUCCAGGUGACAAAGGGGAGUUUGCAGUUUCCUGCCCCCAGAGGGAAGAGCUGAUUAUUGUCCUUUGUUCCAGUCUGUGCUGAAUCCACUCCCAUAUGCAAGUUCUUUGUGACCUUGAUGGUCUUCUGUCUGGGACCAUCAGGGUUGGCAUAGCAACUGGGCAGGGCUCCUGUGGAUGUGCUGGUAUGGUCAAGGGAUUAUGGCUGCCCUGUAUCAAACCUUCCCCAUGUUGUAGUCCUUCCUUCAUGGAGUAAAAUAAAAGUGGAACAGUGCAGAUCCGAUGUA
Non-coding RNA from Podarcis lilfordi (Lilford's wall lizard), 3881 nucleotides. NCBI's taxonomy places the organism in Eukaryota, Metazoa, Chordata, Lepidosauria, Squamata, Lacertidae. The record is from the annotation of a GenBank genome assembly.